GAGGAGCUCGACUUUCCUGUUAAAAUACCCUGACUUUCCUGUCAAAAGAGCGCUAGAAAAUGCUGCCGCCGCGCCGGAGCCAGGCGGUGGUGACGGAGCGGACCCGAAACCUGCCGAGCCGCUGCGCCUCCCGCCUGCCCAAGUGCAUCCCCUCCCAGCCCCUUUCACAAGCGCAGGGGCUCAGCCGCAGCCCUCCCACCGGGCAGUGACAAGAGGAAACACGUGGUAGCCGGAGUAUUGGGUCCCGAGGUUAGGGAAACAAAACGUUUUUGCUUGGACCUCAGAUUGGCAGUAGGCAGCGGGGCUUUUCACCGUCCGGAUGAAAUACGGGGAAAUGGGAGUCGCCUGGGAUGGGCCCUGCAGCUCGCCCUGAGCGGGGCGUGCGGGCCCGUCUGGCCCGACGAGAGCAGGCGAGGUCCAGGCAGGCCCGAGCUCAGCAGGCUGACUGUCCGACCACGGCGCCUCGCCAGCAUUACAAGUGUUUUCUCCUGUAAAUUACAGGUAAGAAAGUGAAUUAUCACUGAAAACAGUAAGAGACCCUCAUUUGCAGUUUUCAGCACAACCAGCACAGUGAACUGUUCUGACUUUGCUUGCAGACAGCUGGGACUUCUUUCCACAAGGUCUCAUCUGGAAUACAGUGGACAGAAGAGAUCAGAGGUACUGCAGAUCUAUAAUGGUUCUUCAAGCCUUAUUUAAUCUACAGGUAAAGCUCAUAGGAUUUGCAGUAUGAUGAAAGAACAGGCUAACAUUAGACAGCAAUCCCAGACCCCAGUCUGAGGAAGGUGAAGAAAUCAAGGAAGGGAAACUCAGGAUGCCAACAAAAAUGAUGAAGAGUUUUACUCUGCAGUUGAUAACUGCUUUUUAAUCUAUAUCUAUUUUAAACACAGUAUGCAUUAAUAACUGCAGCACCCUAACAUGCUAAUAUGCUAAGAAAAUACAGAACUUCCCAUUUCCUUUCUAAGUGAAUUUGACCUUUGUCACUACUCAGAUUAGUAUGUUUGGCUUACAUUUUAGAAGAAAGGACAUUAACUUGUGUUCUCUCCACUGUGGAUAGAGUAAGAGCCUAUGUAAUGACAUGUCAGGUAUAUAAAUCCACAUCAGGACACCCAUCCCCACAGAAAUAGGCACUACCUUCCUCCUCCCACAUUUGCUGUCAGCAACACGCAGUAGCAUAGGAGCUUUCAUACCUCACCUCACUGCUGGAGGCAUACCUCCCUGGCACUGCUAGUGUGCUUCUUCCACUUCUUAGCCUAGGGAAUGGCAAGGACAGCCAUUGUGUCCUGCAGUUUGACUGAUGCCCCUCUUCACUUCUGCAACAUCUGUGAAUUCAGCUGCAGACAAAUUAUCUACUGUAUAUUUUAUUAUAACAUCAAAGUGAAUGCAUUGUAGGACACUGGCAUUUAAAAAGAAAAUCUUGAAAUGGUUUAAUACAUAUAAAAGUGUAUUUAUACAUUGUCUUGUUGACAAAAAACAUGUAAGUAAGUUUAGCUCAGAACUUUAAAACUCAAUGGUUUCUCAAGGGUAAAAAAAAAGCUCAGAAAACUAAUAGUUACAACAACAAUUUUUUCAUAUAAUUUUUGUUCAUUUUGCACUUUACCUCACCUUCUCAAUAAACACUUCUUCUUCUUUUGAGAAGACCUUUGGUUUACAUUUCACUCAGAAAAAUUAAAAACACAGAAUAUGCAUUGCGUUUAACCUACAGUAUUAUAAAGUACCAUUACAAACUAAUUUUCAUUGUUCUCCCCCUAACCUCAGUAAAUCUUCUUUAUUUGAGUCUUUCAGGAGCUGCAGUUCUUCUCACAAGCUGGUGACUCCUGUCAUUCACAAUUGCUAAUGAGUAUGCACAGUCCUUGACUUUGUUUCUUUAAAGGGACACUGUACGAAAUGGCAUCUGUAUUAGAAGAUCAGGAAGGUCAGAAAGGAAAAACCCUAAUUUCGCAAUAUUUUAACAUACAAUGCCUGUGGAUGUUCUGAAAACCUGACAGAACUGCAGCAUCUGUGCAUGUACAAAAGAGCUUGGAAGUGAACAAUUUACUGCUUUUUCAUUAUUGAGAAAAGUAUUACUUUUUCAGUAACAAUGAGGCCCUUAAAUGCUCCUUAAAGCAGUACCAGGUAUAUGCAUACACACUUCUCAUUAGUAAAUCCUGCAUAUAUUUUCCUGACGGUAUCCAAGGAAAGUCUAAAUAAGAAUAUUAAAUCAUAUUCCCACGAGUCUCUUCUAAAUUCAAAAUUACACAUCUGCACAGCAAAUCUCCAUUAACAAUAUUUUUCAGUGUAAUGCAGUACAAAAUUGAUACAUAUGUAAAUUAUUUCACUUGCAGAAUUACAAUGACAUACUUUGUGUUCUUUCUGUACAAGAAACAUCCCCAAGUCACUCAUUAAAAGUGGUGAGGCCACUUAGGUCAAUGAUAUACAGGCAGCUUGAAAGACGCUGGCAUUUUAAGUGGCAUGUUUAGAGUUUGUCUAUGGUUGUAUUCUUCCUGUAUUUCUUAAUAAUUAGCUGCAGGAAGGUACGAUACAUUUUACAUUUGUAUUUUACCUUUCAUGUGAAAAAAACAUGCAUUGCAGCCAGGAAUAGCUGUGCCACCUCAUAGACGGUUUGACCUUGUCUUUGCUGCCCUUGAUCUUUCUGCAGGGUUUCUUUAGUUUGUGAAUACACAAGGCAAAAGUGGACUUUAGUGAGGUUAAGACUGAAAAGCCCUUACUGAUCUCCUCAAGAUGUCCUCCCUUUGUGAUCACGUUGGCAAUCACUUGAAGAACUGCUUGAUUCUCCUCUUGAGCUUUUGUGACUUCUAAAAGUGUAAAACAGAAAAACACAUAAUAGAAUCUUGGGAAAACAUGAAAUGCAUAAAUACAUAAAUAUUGGCAUUUAAUAGUGGAAUUCUAAACAGAAGAUCACUUUAUGAAACCUUUCUUUCCAAAAAGCUUGCUUUAGUCAUGUCUUCAGUACGCCAAGUUUAGAGUGAUAUUUGGUUUUCUUUUUUUCUUUCUUUCUUUUUUUUUUUGUUUUUGUUUUUGUACAGUUUUCAUUUGGGGAAAGAUGUUUUGUAACAGCUAAUGUUGCUGUCACAUCUCCUGUACAGUGCAGUACAUUGCCUUUCACUUCAGUGAUCUGAUAUGACCUUUUACUUGUUGAGGAAGAUAUAUACUGACUGGUAUCGCUUUUUUUGCAAGAUAUUAGUGAAGAUGUUUUCAUUUAUUAAAUUCAAGUUUUAUUUGGCUUUUGGUGAUUCUUUCGUUCCAGCAGAGAGUAUCAUAACUACUUGAUUCUAAGGUAAAAGUCAACAAUUAUUUGAUCCCUCAGGCUUGCAAAUUAACAUU
RNAcentral lists this long non-coding RNA (3321 nucleotides) under Taeniopygia guttata (zebra finch). Its description in RNAcentral is "lncRNA (ENSTGUG00000023641.1)". Lineage: Eukaryota; Metazoa; Chordata; Aves; Passeriformes; Estrildidae. The record is from RNAcentral.